GACUCGCGCGGACAGUGGACUAGAGAAACCCUCUUUAAUUGGGAGAGUAACUUGUUACAUUCCUCAAACAGACUCCUCAAAUCCCAUGGUCUCAAAGCUGGGUCAUGAGCGUAUUUUACUGAAGCUGCGUUGUCUGACUAUACGCAGACUUCCAACACUGGAUUGUUCUUCGUCGCUGCCUCUUCUCCCAGACAACGCAGAGCUUCCUUCACUGCUGCAGCUUCAAUUUCCAGCGGGGAGGAAGCAGACGCAGCUCUAGCAAACCCCACAGUACACAAACCUCUAUGAUCCCUGCAUACCCCAGCCACCGAUCCCUCUAUUUCCCCUUCGAUCCACGACCCAUUUACGUUAAAUUUCCAGCUUCCAUGUUCUGGGCACGUCCAUCGCGCUGUCUUGGAUUUCACCCGCCAGCUUCACGACACAGGCGUUCCUUGCCUUCCAGAUUUGCCAGAGAAUUCUUGCAAGCACCUCUCGGCCGGACUGUUCUGUGAUGUUGCUCUGGGUCAAGGUGUCCUGAUUGGAAGAAGGAGCUGACUAGUCCGUGUAAAUCGUGCUGUAAUUCCU
This is a long non-coding RNA of Syzygium oleosum, 564 nucleotides long. RefSeq lists it as uncharacterized. The transcript is spliced from 3 exons. Lineage: Eukaryota; Viridiplantae; Streptophyta; Magnoliopsida; Myrtales; Myrtaceae. The record is from RefSeq and is a predicted model, not a curated record.